UGAGGUGCUUGCACCUGAUUGAUUUUGGUCGCCAACGAGUGGCGGACGGGUGAGUAACACGUAGGUAACCUGCCCAGAAGCGGGGGACAACAUUUGGAAACAGAUGCUAAUACCGCAUAACAACGUUGUUCGCAUGAACAACGCUUAAAAGAUGGCUUCUCGCUAUCACUUCUGGAUGGACCUGCGGUGCAUUAGCUUGUUGGUGGGGUAAUGGCCUACCAAGGCGAUGAUGCAUAGCCGAGUUGAGAGACUGAUCGGCCACAAUGGGACUGAGACACGGCCCAUACUCCUACGGGAGGCAGCAGUAGGGAAUCUUCCACAAUGGGCGCAAGCCUGAUGGAGCAACACCGCGUGAGUGAAGAAGGGUUUCGGCUCGUAAAGCUCUGUUGUUAAAGAAGAACACGUAUGAGAGUAACUGUUCAUACGUUGACGGUAUUUAACCAGAAAGUCACGGCUAACUACGUGCCAGCAGCCGCGGUAAUACGUAGGUGGCAAGCGUUAUCCGGAUUUAUUGGGCGUAAAGAGAGUGCAGGCGGUUUUCUAAGUCUGAUGUGAAAGCCUUCGGCUUAACCGGAGAAGUGCAUCGGAAACUGGAUAACUUGAGUGCAGAAGAGGGUAGUGGAACUCCAUGUGUAGCGGUGGAAUGCGUAGAUAUAUGGAAGAACACCAGUGGCGAAGGCGGCUACCUGGUCUGCAACUGACGCUGAGACUCGAAAGCAUGGGUAGCGAACAGGAUUAGAUACCCUGGUAGUCCAUGCCGUAAACGAUGAGUGCUAGGUGUUGGAGGGUUUCCGCCCUUCAGUGCCGGAGCUAACGCAUUAAGCACUCCGCCUGGGGAGUACGACCGCAAGGUUGAAACUCAAAGGAAUUGACGGGGGCCCGCACAAGCGGUGGAGCAUGUGGUUUAAUUCGAAGCUACGCGAAGAACCUUACCAGGUCUUGACAUCUUGCGCCAACCCUAGAGAUAGGGCGUUUCCUUCGGGAACGCAAUGACAGGUGGUGCAUGGUCGUCGUCAGCUCGUGUCGUGAGAUGUUGGGUUAAGUCCCGCAACGAGCGCAACCCUUGUUACUAGUUGCCAGCAUUAAGUUGGGCACUCUAG
RNAcentral lists this ribosomal RNA (1100 nucleotides) under Limosilactobacillus fermentum. RNAcentral's name for it is "bacterial SSU rRNA". It matches the Rfam family "Bacterial small subunit ribosomal RNA", at positions 66 to 1143 of the family's 1533-position model. The record is from RNAcentral. Lineage: Bacteria; Bacillati; Bacillota; Bacilli; Lactobacillales; Lactobacillaceae.